Molecule: microRNA precursor, 87 nt
Organism: Monodelphis domestica (gray short-tailed opossum)
Lineage: Eukaryota; Metazoa; Chordata; Mammalia; Didelphimorphia; Didelphidae
Source: Ensembl
AGCUGUGGAUCGGCAUCAGGACAGCUAGAGAGGGUUUAAGUUGGUUCAUAUCUUGGGCCAGCUGGUCUGAUGCCAUUUGACAGCUCA